RNAcentral lists this transfer RNA (75 nucleotides) under Secundilactobacillus paracollinoides. Its description in RNAcentral is "Lactobacillus paracollinoides tRNA-Gln". It matches the Rfam family "tRNA". Rfam says of the family: Transfer RNA (tRNA) molecules are approximately 80 nucleotides in length. Their secondary structure includes four short double-helical elements and three loops (D, anti-codon, and T loops). Further hydrogen bonds mediate the characteristic L-shaped molecular structure. tRNAs have two regions of fundamental functional importance: the anti-codon, which is responsible for specific mRNA codon recognition, and the 3' end, to which the tRNAs corresponding amino acid is attached (by aminoacyl-tRNA synthetases). tRNAs cope with the degeneracy of the genetic code in two manners: having more than one tRNA (with a specific anti-codon) for a particular amino acid; and 'wobble' base-pairing, i.e. permitting non-standard base-pairing at the 3rd anti-codon position. Lineage: Bacteria; Bacillati; Bacillota; Bacilli; Lactobacillales; Lactobacillaceae. The record is from RNAcentral.
UGGGGUAUAGCCAAGUGGUAAGGCAACGGGUUUUGAUCCCGUGAUGCGCUGGUUCGAACCCAGCUAUCCCAACUA